GAUGAAGAACGUAGCGAAAUGCGAUACGUAAUGUGAAUUGCAGAAUUCAGUGAAUCAUCGAGUCUUUGAACGCACAUUGCGCCCCCUGGUAUUCCGGGGGGCAUGCCUGUCCGAGCGUCAUUACACCACUCAAGCUAUGCUUGGUAUUGGGCGUCGUCCUUAGUUGGGCGCGCCUUAAAGACCUCGGCGAGGCCACUCCGGCUUUAGGCGUAGUAGAAUUUAUUCGAACGUCUGUCAAAGGAGAGGAACUCUGCCGACUGAAACCUUUAUUUUUCUAGGUUGACCUCGGAUCAGGUAGGGAUACCCGCUGAACUUAAGCAUAUCAAUAAGCGGAGGA
RNAcentral lists this unclassified non-coding RNA (337 nucleotides) under soil metagenome. Its description in RNAcentral is "partial contains 5.8S ribosomal RNA, internal transcribed spacer 2, and large subunit ribosomal RNA". The stretch from base 1 to 120 matches the Rfam family "5.8S ribosomal RNA", at positions 35 to 154 of the family's 154-position model. The record is from RNAcentral.